GUAUCAGUAUGUAUGGUCGGAUUAUGUUUCUGUGUGAAAGAGAGAGUUGUUCCCCUUUUGCCAGUAUCUUGUAUUUAUGUUUGUGACGUCAUUCUUUGUCUGAUUAAAAUGUAGAAAUGGAAGCUGAUGUGUUUUUAUGUGUCCGUAUAUAAUCGCCUCCAUCCAUGCUACCAGAGAUAUUCCCCUAGUCUGUAAUAUUUAAGU
Molecule: long non-coding RNA, 204 nt
Filed under: Mytilus galloprovincialis (Mediterranean mussel)
Lineage: Eukaryota; Metazoa; Mollusca; Bivalvia; Mytilida; Mytilidae
Source: RNAcentral